RNAcentral lists this ribosomal RNA (484 nucleotides) under uncultured bacterium. Its description in RNAcentral is "partial 16S ribosomal RNA". It matches the Rfam family "Bacterial small subunit ribosomal RNA", at positions 28 to 523 of the family's 1533-position model. The record is from RNAcentral.
GACGAACGCUGGCGGCGUGCUUAACACAUGCAAGUCGAACGAUGAAGCCGGAGCUUGCUCUGGUGAAUUAGUGGCGAACGGGUGAGUAGCACGUGAGUAACCUGCCCUUGACUCUGGGAUAACUGCUAGAAAUGGUAGCUAAUACCGGAUACGACCCUCGGAGGCAUCUUCAGGGGGUGGAAAGAAUUUCGGUCAAGGAUGGACUCGCGGCCUAUCAGCUAGUUGGUGAGGUAAUGGCUCACCAAGGCGACGACGGGUAGCCGGCCUGAGAGGGUGACCGGCCGAACUGGGACUGAGACACGGCCCAGACUCCUACGGGAGGCAGCAGUGGGGAAUAUUGCACAAUGGGCGCAAGCCUGAUGCAGCAACGCCGCGUGAGGGAUGACGGCCUUCGGGUUGUAAACCUCUUUUAGUAGGGAAGAAGCGAAAGUGACGGUACCUGCAGAAAAAGCACCGGCUAACUACGUGCCAGCCGCCGCGGUAA